Molecule: transfer RNA, 73 nt
Filed under: Schlesneria paludicola
Lineage: Bacteria; Pseudomonadati; Planctomycetota; Planctomycetia; Planctomycetales; Planctomycetaceae
Also listed under: 1 other name
Description: tRNA-Gly
Rfam family: tRNA
About the family: Transfer RNA (tRNA) molecules are approximately 80 nucleotides in length. Their secondary structure includes four short double-helical elements and three loops (D, anti-codon, and T loops).
Source: RNAcentral
GCGGGUGUAACUCAGUUGGUAGAGUACCACGUUGCCAACGUGGUUGUCGCGAGUUCGAGUCUCGUCACCCGCU